This 82-nucleotide transfer RNA is filed under the name Hyphomonas sp. CY54-11-8. It matches the Rfam family "tRNA". From Rfam's summary of the family: Transfer RNA (tRNA) molecules are approximately 80 nucleotides in length. Their secondary structure includes four short double-helical elements and three loops (D, anti-codon, and T loops). The record is from Rfam by way of RNAcentral. Lineage: Bacteria; Pseudomonadati; Pseudomonadota; Alphaproteobacteria; Hyphomonadales; Hyphomonadaceae.
GCGGAUGUGGCGGAAUUGGUAGACGCACUGGAUUUAGGUUCCAGCGCCGCAAGGCGUGGAGGUUCGAGUCCUCUCAUCCGCA